CAGCCGCCGCGGGAAUACGUAGGUGGUAAGCGUUGUCCGGAAUUAUUGGGCGUAAAGGGCUCGCAGGCGGUUUCUUAAGUCUGAUGUGAAAGCCCCCGGCUCAACCGGGGAGGGUCAUUGGAAACUGGGGAACUUGAGUGCAGAAGAGGAGAGUGGAAUUCCACGUGCAGCGGUGAAAUGCGUAGAGAUGUGGAGGAACACCAGUGGCGAAGGCGACUCUCUGGUCUGUAACUGACGCUGAGGAGCGAAAGCGUGGGGAGCGAACAGGAUUAGAUACCCGUGUAGUCCCUGUCUCUUAUAC
RNAcentral lists this ribosomal RNA (301 nucleotides) under uncultured bacterium. RNAcentral's name for it is "partial 16S ribosomal RNA". It matches the Rfam family "Bacterial small subunit ribosomal RNA", at positions 509 to 807 of the family's 1533-position model. The record is from RNAcentral.